This is a long non-coding RNA of Varanus komodoensis (Komodo dragon), 753 nucleotides long. RefSeq lists it as uncharacterized. The transcript is spliced from 3 exons. Lineage: Eukaryota; Metazoa; Chordata; Lepidosauria; Squamata; Varanidae. The record is from RefSeq and is a predicted model, not a curated record.
CUACUGCCUUCACACCCUUAAGGAGUUAUACCAGCAGUAGCUGGCUAGAAGUGGCGGUUAACCAGGUUGGAAAAGGCCGAUGGGCCAGCUGGAGCAGGAGAGAGAAAGAAGCGCUUGGAUGAAGUUAUGUGCUCUGGGCUGCAGAGGAGAGACUCAAGCUUCUGUCCUGCCACCACUGGAGGCACAUUUUGUGUGUGGCGGUGUGGGGAACCCCGUGUGAUUCUCUGCCUCCUGCCACCGUUGUGCUCACAACAACCCUGCAAGGAAACAUCACCACCUCUGCCCUGUCCAGAGAAGCUUAAGACGGGCCCGGAGGGAUUAUGCUGUUCCGGAAAGAACAUUCUCAGGAGCAAAUUGGACGAAAGAGAGCAUCGGCGGAAGAAUUAAUGAUGGCGAACUUGCCCUGGCCUAGCCGGCAGAACUGAAUAGACGGCUCUCCUCCGGACCCACAAAAGCCCAUAUUCCUUCCCCACCCCAUGUCUUACUGCUUCAAGCCACAGAGACUUUAACAAGGGACGCUUUGUCCCCCUUUUAAAUAACCCCGUCACCAUAAUUAAUAGCAUGGACAGAACCCUGGUGGUGCUGUAGAGAGACUGAAGGGUCGCUUUCAGCAGCUUUUUCAUCUUCGCCCUGCCUCCUCCUUAUCCUUCUAAGCUGCAAAUGAAAUGGAAAGGAAAAGAAAAGAAAAGAACUAAAGGAAAGAACACAGAGGUCUUGGUUUUACUGAUCUCUCAUUUGUUAUGCCAAUGAGCA